RNAcentral lists this ribosomal RNA (497 nucleotides) under uncultured bacterium. RNAcentral describes it as "partial 16S ribosomal RNA". It matches the Rfam family "Bacterial small subunit ribosomal RNA", at positions 28 to 507 of the family's 1533-position model. The record is from RNAcentral.
GAUGAACGCUGGCGGCGUGCCUAAUACAUGCAAGUCGAGCGAACAGACGAGGAGCUUGCUCCUCUGACGUUAGCGGCGGACGGGUGAGUAACACGUGGAUAACCUACCUAUAAGACUGGGAUAACUUCGGGAAACCAGAGCUAAUACCGGAUAAUAUAUUGAACCGCAUGGUUCAAUAGUGAAAGACGGUUUUGCUGUCACUUAUAGUUGGAUCCGCGCCGCAUUAGCUAGUUGGUAAGGUAACGGCUUACCAAGGCGACGAUGCGUAGCCGACCUGAGAGGGUGAUCGGCCACACUGGAACUGAGACACGGUCCAGACUCCUACGGGAGGCAGCAGUAGGGAAUCUUCCGCAAUGGGCGAAAGCCUGACGGAGCAACGCCGCGUGAGUGAUGAAGGUCUUCGGAUCGUAAAACUCUGUUAUUAGGGAAGAACAAAUGUGUAAGUAACUAUGCACGUCUUGACGGUACCUAAUCAGAAAGCCACGGCUAACUACGUG